This 464-nucleotide long non-coding RNA is filed under the name Homo sapiens (human). RNAcentral describes it as "non-protein coding CYP1B1-AS1:22". The record is from RNAcentral. Lineage: Eukaryota; Metazoa; Chordata; Mammalia; Primates; Hominidae.
UCUAUCUUUGUUGAGUUUUGGUAUUGAUUUUAUGUGUCAGUACCUGAGAAGGAGAGAAGUCCUUGAGUUGUUUCGUAAAUGUGGCUCAAGUGAGAUGCUGAACAGUGCCAGCCAUGUGGACUCUGCCACAGUGAAGGAGGAAGGCAGCACUGAGAAGUGAAGGAAUAUUUGGGAGGAUCAGAAGCUUGGUCCUGAUUUUGCCAUCAACAGGAACUUGAUGACUUCAAGGGAGUCCCCAAACCCUGGGUUUCUGUUUUCUCAACUCUAACAUGAGGGGCUAGAUGCAUCUGGUUUAGUUAGUCUCCAUGAUGGUUUAGUUCGUCUCCAUGAUCCUGUGAAUUUCAGAUGUUGAAAAUCUUCGGAAAAGCCCUGAAAGAUGAACAGUGGUCUCAAAUAGUCAAGACCCCCUGCUGGGAGGAGCUUCUAUCCUGCUCUGUGGAAGAAAUGGGCAUGCCAGAUGCCUG